CCUACGGGGGGCAGCAGUGGGGAAUAUUGCACAAUGGGCGCAAGCCUGAUGCAGCCAUGCCGCGUGUGUGAAGAAGGCCUUCGGGUUGUAAAGCACUUUCAGCGGGGAGGAAGGCGUUGAGGUUAAUAACCUUAUCGAUUGACGUUACCCGCAGAAGAAGCACCGGCUAACUCCGUGCCAGCAGCCGCGGUAAUACGGAGGGUGCAAGCGUUAAUCGGAAUUACUGGGCGUAAAGCGCACGCAGGCGGCCUGUCAAGUCGGAUGUGAAAUCCCCGGGCUCAACCUGGGAACUGCAUUCGAAACUGGCAGGCUAGAGUCUUGUAGAGGGGGGUAGAAUUCCAGGUGUAGCGGUGAAAUGCGUAGAGAUCUGGAGGAAUACCGGUGGCGAAGGCGGCCCCCUGGACAAAGACUGACGCUCAGGUGCGAAAGCGUGGGGAGCAAACAGGAUUAGAUACCCGAGUAGUC
RNAcentral lists this ribosomal RNA (465 nucleotides) under uncultured Klebsiella sp. Its description in RNAcentral is "bacterial SSU rRNA". It matches the Rfam family "Bacterial small subunit ribosomal RNA", at positions 338 to 795 of the family's 1533-position model. The record is from RNAcentral. Lineage: Bacteria; Pseudomonadati; Pseudomonadota; Gammaproteobacteria; Enterobacterales; Enterobacteriaceae.